Molecule: ribosomal RNA, 187 nt
Filed under: uncultured bacterium
Lineage: Bacteria
Description: partial 16S ribosomal RNA
Rfam family: Bacterial small subunit ribosomal RNA
Source: RNAcentral
UUAAGUCUGAUGUGAAAGCCCCCGGCUCAACCGUAGUAAGCCUUUGAAACUGGGAAGCUUGAGUGCAGGAGAGGGGAGUGGAAUUCCUAGUGUAGCGGUGAAAUGCGUAGAUAUUAGGAGGAACACCAGUUGCGAAGGCGGCUCUCUGGACUGUAACUGACACUGAGGCACGAAAGCGUGGGGAGCA